AUUAAUUUCUGUUGUAUAAGCCACUCAGUCUAUAGUAUUUUGUUAUGGCAGCCCAAGCUGGCUAAGACAGCGGACAGAAAAGAAUUUAAAUCCGUCCUGGAAUUUGGCACAUGUAUGGGAUAUGGAUAGAAAAUAAGAGCAAAGAGGAAUUCAAGAUAAUGAGGCAAUAUAAACAAAAGUUGAAAAGAGAAAAUGAGCAUGCAGUGCCUAGAGAUGCCAAGGAAUCCAGAUCACUGAGGUCGGAUAGAUGUGUCUUUCCAGAAUUUGAUGAGGUUAACCAGGUAGAGCCAGAUGGUAGAGAUCCUUGAAUACCAGGCAAGGGAGUUCAUCUCUCCACCUGUAAGCAUGAAGGAGCCACGGGAGAUUUUGCAAAGGGAAUGACCAAAACGAAAAUGGCAUUUAGGAAAUGAGUUUGCCAGAAGUACCUGGGAGAAAUGGGGACUAGGCACUGAGAAUGUAAUUCAUAGCACAGCAGAACAGAUACUAAAAGAUCGUUCUGGAAGCAGAAGGGCUGGUUUCCAGCUUUUCUGAGGUUGUUUCACUGUGGGUAACUGCUAAGGCCUUCACCCUUGAUGCCAGAGGUGCUGAAACACAUUGCCACACGGCGAAAGAAGUGCCCUAUUGGCCCAAACACAUUGAAUAAACAUCUACCUCAAACCUU
RNAcentral lists this long non-coding RNA (661 nucleotides) under Homo sapiens (human). RNAcentral's name for it is "HSALNT0401018". Lineage: Eukaryota; Metazoa; Chordata; Mammalia; Primates; Hominidae. The record is from RNAcentral.